RNAcentral lists this long non-coding RNA (227 nucleotides) under Elaeis guineensis (African oil palm). RNAcentral describes it as "long non-coding RNA (EGUI_LNC068615)". The record is from RNAcentral. Lineage: Eukaryota; Viridiplantae; Streptophyta; Magnoliopsida; Arecales; Arecaceae.
CCUCACUUGAUAGUAUAUGAUGAUCUAUUAUAUAUUCAAUGCGUGUUUAUGCUAGUAUUCGAGCUAUUUUAAUAUAUAUUAUGAGCCUUCAUGAUAUUGUAGUGAUAUGUCUAUAUUUUUCACUUCAUCCAUUAUUUUGAUAUGGAUUUAUAGUAAUUCUUACUGAGCUAAAGAAGCUCAUCUUCUUUUGUUAUCUUUUUUUAGAACCACAGGAUGCUUAGUUCGGA